This 468-nucleotide ribosomal RNA is filed under the name uncultured bacterium. Its description in RNAcentral is "partial 16S ribosomal RNA". It matches the Rfam family "Bacterial small subunit ribosomal RNA", at positions 28 to 507 of the family's 1533-position model. The record is from RNAcentral.
GACGAACGCUGGCGGCGUGCUUAACACAUGCAAGUCGAACGGAAAGGCCCUGCUUUUGUUGGGUGCUCGAGUGGCGAACGGGUGAGUAACACGUGAGUAACCUGCCCUUCACUUUGGGAUAACUUCAGGAAACUGGGGCUAAUACCGGAUAGGAGCUCCUGCUGCAUGGUGGGGGUUGGAAAGUUUCGGCGGUUGGGGUUGGACUCGCGGCUUAUCAGUGUGUUGGUGGGGUAGUGGCUUACCAAGGCUUUGACGGGUAGCCGGCCUGAGAGGGUGACCGGCCACUGUGGGGCUGAGAUACGCCCCAGACUCCUACGGGAGGCAGCAGUGGGGAAUAUUGCACAAUGGGCGGAAGCGUGAUGCAGCAACGCCGCGUGCGGGAUGACGGCCUUCGGGUUGUAAACCGCUUUCGCCUGUGACGAAGCGUGAGUGACGGUAAUGGGUAAAGAAGCACCGGCUAACUACGUG